RNAcentral lists this ribosomal RNA (460 nucleotides) under uncultured bacterium. RNAcentral describes it as "partial 16S ribosomal RNA". It matches the Rfam family "Bacterial small subunit ribosomal RNA", at positions 338 to 795 of the family's 1533-position model. The record is from RNAcentral.
CCUACGGGUGGCAGCAGUGAGGAAUAUUGGUCAAUGGGCUUACGCCUGAACCAGCCAAGUCGCGUGAGGGAAGACUGCCCUAUGGGUUGUAAACCUCUUUUGUCAGGGAGCAACGCCGGCUACGUGUAGCCGGACGUAGAGUACCUGUAGAAAAAGCAUCGGCAAACUCCGUGCCACCAGCCGCGGUAAUACGGGGGAUGCGAGCGUUAUCCGGAUUUAUUGGGUUUAAAGGGUGCGUGGGCGGAAUGCCAAGUCAGCGGUAAAGUCGCGGGGCUAAACGUCGCUCUGCAGUUGAAACUGGCGGUCUUGAGUGGGCGAGAGGUAUGCGGAAUGCGUGGUGUAGCGGUGAAAUGCAUAGAUAUCACGAAGAACUCCGAUUGCGAAGGCAGCAUACCGGAGCCCAACUGACGCUGAAGCACGAAAGCGUGGGUAUCGAACAGGAUUAGAUACCCUAGUAGUC